AAGAACUUGAAAGUAAGAAAGCAUGGAGUUUGAAUGACGUUUUAAAUUUUAGUCAACGUCCAGAUUCUCGUUCGGGUUUCGGUUUCGCUCUAAGGUUUUAGUCUUGUUUGGGGUUACUAUCUCCUCUCGCUACUAUUUGUCGCUUGAAUUUUCGUCGUCGUAAAAUUAAUCUGAGGCUCCUCUCUUAUAUAUUGAAGAAGCUUUGCUCUACAUGUUUCUCUUCCAUAGAUGAAUGAAUUCUGCACUGUUUGAAACAUUUUAAGAGAAGGAACUCUUCUAAGGUUUUUUUCCCCUUUUUAUUAUUAUGUAUGAAGUGUGUUUAUGACUUUCACGUUAGCGUUGUUUUUGAUCUGUUUGACACAUUAGAAUUUGGUCCAUUUUGGAUAUUGAAAUAUCGUUGUUAAAGUUUUUCAUGAUUCAUUCUAUUAUUUGGUUUGCCGAAUUUUGUUUCCUUUUAA
Molecule: long non-coding RNA, 458 nt
Filed under: Nicotiana benthamiana
Lineage: Eukaryota; Viridiplantae; Streptophyta; Magnoliopsida; Solanales; Solanaceae
Description: long non-coding RNA (NBEN_LNC028189)
Source: RNAcentral